GAAUUCACUAGUGAUUCAGGCCUAACACAUGCAAGUCGAGCGGUAGAGAGAAGCUUGCUUCUCUUGAGAGCGGCGGACGGGUGAGUAAUGCCUAGGAAUCUGCCUGGUAGUGGGGGAUAACGUUCGGAAACGGACGCUAAUACCGCAUACGUCCUACGGGAGAAAGCAGGGGACCUUCGGGCCUUGCGCUAUCAGAUGAGCCUAGGUCGGAUUAGCUAGUUGGUGAGGUAAUGGCUCACCAAGGCGACGAUCCGUAACUGGUCUGAGAGGAUGAUCAGUCACACUGGAACUGAGACACGGUCCAGACUCCUACGGGAGGCAGCAGUGGGGAAUAUUGGACAAUGGGCGAAAGCCUGAUCCAGCCAUGCCGCGUGUGUGAAGAAGGUCUUCGGAUUGUAAAGCAAUGUAAGUUGGGAGGAAGGGCAGUUACCUAAUACGUGAUGUUUUGACGUACCGACAGAA
This 462-nucleotide ribosomal RNA is filed under the name uncultured bacterium. Its description in RNAcentral is "bacterial SSU rRNA". It matches the Rfam family "Bacterial small subunit ribosomal RNA", at positions 34 to 486 of the family's 1533-position model. The record is from RNAcentral.